This 301-nucleotide ribosomal RNA is filed under the name uncultured bacterium. RNAcentral's name for it is "partial 16S ribosomal RNA". It matches the Rfam family "Bacterial small subunit ribosomal RNA", at positions 509 to 807 of the family's 1533-position model. The record is from RNAcentral.
CAGUAGCCACGGGAAUACGGAGGGUGCAAGCGUUAAUCGGAAUUACUGGGCGUAAAGCGUGCGUAGGCGGUUCGUUAAGUCUGUUGUGAAAGCCCCGGGCUCAACCUGGGAAUGGCAAUGGAUACUGGCGAGCUAGAGUGUGUCAGAGGAUGGUGGAAUUCCCGGUGUAGCGGUGAAAUGCGUAGAGAUCGGGAGGAACAUCAGUGGCGAAGGCGGCCAUCUGGGACAACACUGACGCUGAGGCACGAAAGCGUGGGGAGCAAACAGGAUUAGAGACCCCUGUAGUCCCUGUCUCUUAUAC